RNAcentral lists this ribosomal RNA (441 nucleotides) under uncultured bacterium. RNAcentral's name for it is "partial 16S ribosomal RNA". It matches the Rfam family "Bacterial small subunit ribosomal RNA", at positions 338 to 795 of the family's 1533-position model. The record is from RNAcentral.
CCUACGGGAGGCAGCAGUGGGGAAUAUUGGGCAAUGGGCGCAAGCCUGACCCAGCAACGCCGCGUGAAGGAUGAAGGUUUUCGGAUUGUAAACUUCUGUCGCGAGGGACGAAGAAUGAUGGUACAUCGUAAGAAAGCAUCUGCUAACUACGUGCCAGCAGCCGCGGUAAUACGUAGGGGGCAAGCGUUGUCCGGAAUGACUGGCCGUAAAGGGAGUGUAGGGGGCCUUGUAAGUUAGAUGUGAAAUCCUACGGCUUAACCAUAGAAUUGCAUCUAAAACUGUGAGGCUUGAGUGCAGGUGAGGUAGGUGGAAUUCCUAGUGUAGCGGUGGAAUGCGUAGAUAUUAGGAGGAACACCAGAGGCGAAGGCGACUCACUGGACUGUAACUGACGCUGAGGCUCGAAAGCGUGGGGAGCAAACAGGAUUAGAUACCCUAGUAGUC